Molecule: non-coding RNA, 94 nt
Organism: Pterulicium gracile
Lineage: Eukaryota; Fungi; Basidiomycota; Agaricomycetes; Agaricales; Pterulaceae
Source: the annotation of a GenBank genome assembly
UCUCUGAUAGUAUAUCGGUUAGUACACGCGCCUGUCACCAGAUGGAACGUUGCUAGAUUCGCGCGAAAGCUGGGUUCGACUCCCAGUCAGAGAG